CGGACAUCAUAAUGACUGUUUAAGAGGACUAUGCUAUUCAGCUUCAUCAUGUUAUUGACAAAAACCUUUUGCUUCAGGAACCAUUGAUUGUUAUGUUGAGCCUGGGUAAAAUCAAAGAUGCUACAGACAAGUAUCCUCUAAGCGUCCAAAAUAUCAAGUAUGGGACUAGAUUGUAUGUCAACACUAACAUUGCAGAGAUACAACAAUUUUGUGAUAGGUUUGUCAUUAAUUUUGCAUUUUUUAUAUGUAGUCUUGCUGUAACUCUAAUUUUGUUACUUGCGGUCCAUUCAGUUUGUGUGUCCCAUUUUACUCUGGUGGAAUAAUCGAUGAUAGAGGUAGUUCUCAGUCCCAAUCUAGCCAAAGUAAAUUGGUGGAGAAGUUUUUGCACAAUGCUCAGGUGGUCAGUAUAGGUGAAAUUAACAACCUCAAAUAGGAUUGUUACUAUUUGACUGUUGGGACAGUUGACGAAAUCAUCAUUGAUGCUCCAUGGAGUUAUGACAGUUGUCCUUACUGUACCACAACAUUUGAUCCAUCAAAAGUAGGCUCAGCUUGUCGUUCUUGCCAGAACCGAGUGAACGACACAGUUCCAAGGUAUAAGUUAAAUGUUAGGAUGAAGCAUAAUGGGAACAAAGGAAACUUCAUUUUUUGGGAUGCAACAUGUAUCAAGAUGUUUGGUAAGACUGUUGCAAAAUGUCGAGAUGAAUUGAUAGCGGUAUGUUCUGUACAAUGCAAUGAUAGAUUAAAUAAUAUUGUGGUUUGUGAUUGACACAAAUUAAUUUCCCUAUCUAGGCUGGGGACGACAUUAAGGUGUUUCCAUCGUGUGUUGAUGAAAUAUUGUCUAAAACUUGGGCUAUCAGAUUUAAGUACCAUUCACAAUUGCGCCAAUCAUGUGUGUUGGAUGCCAGUGAAGAACCCUAUCAUAUUCAAACAUUGACAACCACCCUUGGGUUGAAAGUAAUAACUAAUUAAGUUUAUCAUAAUAUAAGGUUAACAAAAAAUAAUUGACGUUUGUUCUGCCUUAAUAUUUUGCAUGUAGGGAGAAGCAAGGAUGGGAAAGACAAUAGUUGUUGAGCCUAAAAGUUCACCGCCAAUUUACCAUCCUACGGUGGGUAUUUUGUUCCGAUAUUUUUUUGGGUGUAGGAUUGACAAAUGUUUUUAACUAUUAU
Molecule: long non-coding RNA, 1166 nt
Organism: Glycine soja
Lineage: Eukaryota; Viridiplantae; Streptophyta; Magnoliopsida; Fabales; Fabaceae
Exons: 4
Source: RefSeq, a predicted model, not a curated record